Molecule: non-coding RNA, 45 nt
Filed under: Schistosoma margrebowiei
Lineage: Eukaryota; Metazoa; Platyhelminthes; Trematoda; Strigeidida; Schistosomatidae
Source: RNAcentral
GCACUGAAGAGGAGUCUCAAACAAAACGAAACGGCCGUCUAGUGU